UGGCUCAAUGGUUAGAGCGUUUGACUUCUAACUAAAGGGUUGCGGGUUCGAGUCUCGC
This 58-nucleotide transfer RNA is filed under the name Schistocephalus solidus. It matches the Rfam family "tRNA", at positions 8 to 63 of the family's 71-position model. Rfam says of the family: Transfer RNA (tRNA) molecules are approximately 80 nucleotides in length. Their secondary structure includes four short double-helical elements and three loops (D, anti-codon, and T loops). Further hydrogen bonds mediate the characteristic L-shaped molecular structure. tRNAs have two regions of fundamental functional importance: the anti-codon, which is responsible for specific mRNA codon recognition, and the 3' end, to which the tRNAs corresponding amino acid is attached (by aminoacyl-tRNA synthetases). tRNAs cope with the degeneracy of the genetic code in two manners: having more than one tRNA (with a specific anti-codon) for a particular amino acid; and 'wobble' base-pairing, i.e. permitting non-standard base-pairing at the 3rd anti-codon position. Lineage: Eukaryota; Metazoa; Platyhelminthes; Cestoda; Diphyllobothriidea; Diphyllobothriidae. The record is from Rfam by way of RNAcentral.